Molecule: long non-coding RNA, 485 nt
Organism: Neofelis nebulosa (Clouded leopard)
Lineage: Eukaryota; Metazoa; Chordata; Mammalia; Carnivora; Felidae
Exons: 4
Source: RefSeq, a predicted model, not a curated record
CCCUGGCUUGAUUGGGAGACAUGUAUUCUAGUCACUGCUCCCCUAUUAAUAGGUCUGUGAUUUGGGGAAGCUGCUUUGGCCUCUGGAUUGAAAAUGCCUCUUCAAAACUGCCAACAGAGAACUUCUCUCCUUUGAGUGAGUUCAAGAAGAUCACCACAGAACACUGCAUUCCACUGUGAAAACAAACCUGGAGGCCAAAGCGUAAGCACUUGCAGUUGGAGGGGCCUCUCUCUUGUGCCGAAACGAAACCAUACUUCUCAACCUUUUCACCAUGACCCCAAGAAUGCUGAGCUCUGCCAGCCUGAUUUCCUUCUUACCGCUGUGCUACCUGUAACCAACCUGCCAACACUGAAGAGCUCUAGUUGGCUCCAUGGAAUGAAUAUCUGUCUCUGCCACUUGACUGUGAGUUCCUCCAGAGCCCGGGAUAUACCUUACUCAUGUUAGUGUUCCAGCUCGUCCGCAGAACUAAGCAGCUGAACACUUUG